RNAcentral lists this ribosomal RNA (421 nucleotides) under Fusobacteriota bacterium. Its description in RNAcentral is "Fusobacteria bacterium partial 16S ribosomal RNA". It matches the Rfam family "Bacterial small subunit ribosomal RNA", at positions 355 to 776 of the family's 1533-position model. Lineage: Bacteria; Fusobacteriati; Fusobacteriota. The record is from RNAcentral.
UGGGGGAUUUUGCACAAUGGGCGCAAGCCUGAUGCAGCGACGCCGCGUGAGGGAUGAAGGCCUUCGGGUUGUAAACCUCUUUCGCUGGGUUGAAAGGCCAUGCUUUGGGUGUGGUUGAUUUGAACUGGUAAAGAAGUACCGGCUAACUACGUGCCAGCAGCCGCGGUAAUACGUAGGGUACUAGCGUUGUCCGGAUUUAUGGGCGUAAAGGGCUUGUAGGUGGUUUGUCGCGUCUGUCGUGAAAUCCUGUGGCUUAACCAUGGGCUUGCGGUGGGUACGGGCAGGCUUGAGUGCGGUAGGGGAGACUGGAAUUCCUGGUGUAGCGGUGGAAUGCGCAGAUAUCAGGAGGAACACCGGUGGCGAAGGCGGGUCUCUGGGCCGUUACUGACACUGAGGAGCGAAAGCGUGGGGAGCGAACAGG